RNAcentral lists this ribosomal RNA (441 nucleotides) under uncultured bacterium. RNAcentral describes it as "partial 16S ribosomal RNA". It matches the Rfam family "Bacterial small subunit ribosomal RNA", at positions 338 to 795 of the family's 1533-position model. The record is from RNAcentral.
CCUACGGUGGACAGCAGUGGGGAAUAUUGCACAAUGGGGGAAACCCUGAUGCAGCGACGCCGCGUGAGUGAAGAAGUAUUUCGGUAUGUAAAGCUCUAUCAGCAGGAACGAGACAAGACGGUACCUGACUAAGAAGCCCCGGCUAACUACGUGCCAGCAGCCGCGGUAAUACGUAGGGGGCAAGCGUUAUCCGGAAUCACUGGGUGUAAAGGGAGCGUAGACGGCUGAGCAAGCCUGAAGUGAAAGGCGGGGGCCCAACCCCCGGACUGCUUUUGGAACUGUGCGGCUGGAGUGCAGGAGAGGUAAGUGGAAUUCCUAGUGUAGCGGUGAAAUGCGUAGAUAUUAGGAGGAACACCAGUGGCGAAGGCGGCUUACUGGACUGUAACUGACGUUGAGGCUCGAAAGCGUGGGGAGCAAACAGGAUUAGAUACCCGUGUAGUC